GCCUCGGUAGCUCAGUUGGUAGAGCAGCUGACUUGUAAUCAGCAGGUCGAGGGUUCAAAUCCCUUCCGAGGCU
RNAcentral lists this transfer RNA (73 nucleotides) under Candidatus Woesearchaeota archaeon. RNAcentral's name for it is "tRNA-Thr". It matches the Rfam family "tRNA". From Rfam's summary of the family: Transfer RNA (tRNA) molecules are approximately 80 nucleotides in length. Their secondary structure includes four short double-helical elements and three loops (D, anti-codon, and T loops). Lineage: Archaea; Nanobdellati; Candidatus Woesearchaeota. The record is from RNAcentral.